Molecule: ribosomal RNA, 465 nt
Filed under: uncultured Klebsiella sp.
Lineage: Bacteria; Pseudomonadati; Pseudomonadota; Gammaproteobacteria; Enterobacterales; Enterobacteriaceae
Description: bacterial SSU rRNA
Rfam family: Bacterial small subunit ribosomal RNA
Source: RNAcentral
CCUACGGGGGGCUGCAGUGGGGAAUAUUGCACAAUGGGCGCAAGCCUGAUGCAGCCAUGCCGCGUGUGUGAAGAAGGCCUUCGGGUUAUAAAGCACUUUCAGCGGGGAGGAAGGCGUUAAGGUUAAUAACCUUGGCGAUUGACGUUACCCGCAGAAGAAGCACCGGCUAACUCCGUGCCAGCAGCCGCGGUAAUACGGAGGGUGCAAGCGUUAAUCGGAAUUACUGGGCGUAAAGCGCACGCAGGCGGUCUGUCAAGUCGGAUGUGAAAUCCCCGGGCUCAACCUGGGAACUGCAUUCGAAACUGGCAGGCUAGAGUCUUGUAGAGGGGGGUAGAAUUCCAGGUGUAGCGGUGAAAUGCGUAGAGAUCUGGAGGAAUACCGGUGGCGAAGGCGGCCCCCUGGACAAAGACUGACACUCAGGUGCGAAAGCGUGGGGAGCAAACAGGAUUAGAUACCCGAGUAGUC